CCUACGGGAGGCUGCAGUGAGGAAUAUUGGUCAAUGGGCGAGAGCCUGAACCAGCAAAGUCGCGUGAAGGAUGACGGCCCUACGGGUUGUAAACUUCUUUUGUCAGGGAGCAAUUGAGUCCACGCGUGGUCUUAGCGAGAGUACCUGAAAAAAAAGCAUCGGCUAACUCCGUGCCAGCAGCCGCGGUAAUACGGAGGAUGCGAGGGUUAUCCGGCUUGAUGGGGUUUAAGGGGGGCGUAGGUGGACUAUCACGUCCGCGGGAAAAAUUGGGGGCUAAACCCGGUCGUGCCGUUGAAACUGUUGUUCUUGAGUGGGCGAGAAGUAUGCGGAAUGCGUUGUGUAGCGGUGAAAUGCAUAGAUAUCACGCAGAACUCCGAUUGCGAAGGCAGCAUACCGGCGCCCAACUGACGCUGAAGCACGAAAGCGUGGGUAUCGAACAGGAUUAGAUACCCGUGUAGUC
Molecule: ribosomal RNA, 460 nt
Filed under: uncultured bacterium
Lineage: Bacteria
Description: partial 16S ribosomal RNA
Rfam family: Bacterial small subunit ribosomal RNA
Source: RNAcentral